Molecule: ribosomal RNA, 301 nt
Filed under: uncultured bacterium
Lineage: Bacteria
Description: partial 16S ribosomal RNA
Rfam family: Bacterial small subunit ribosomal RNA
Source: RNAcentral
CAGUAGCCGCGGUAAUACGAAGGGUGCAAGCGUUAAUCGGAAUUACUGGGCGUAAAGCGUGCGUAGGCGGUUUGUUAAGUCUGCUGUGAAAUCCCCGGGCUCAACCUGGGAAUGGCAGUGGAUACUGGCAAGCUAGAGUGUGUCAGAGGAUGGUGGAAUUCCCGGUGUAGCGGUGAAAUGCGUAGAGAUCGGGAGGGACAUCAGUGGCGAAGGCGGCCAUCUGGGACAACACUGACGCUGAGGCACGAAAGCGUGGGGAGCAAACAGGAUUAGAUACCCCUGUAGUCCCUGUCUCUUAUAA